CAGUGACUGAAAUGAUUCAGGAAGACCUAUAGUUCUUGAACUUCAGACUCAGAUAAGUCUUUCAAUAUACAACUUGUUUUCUUCCAUUCUCUAAGCGUCAGUAUUUUCUUUACGCACCCCAUUUUUGAGUCUUUAAAAGCCUUCCCUGCUGUUUUCAGGAUUUCCAGGCUGCAGCUGACUUGCCUCACAGGAUAAAUGCACAACUGAAUACUGUACAAACACAGGUCAAACUUCCUGAAGCUGGUAAAAAAUGAAGAUGGCUGUUAAACGUUUGAUGACCUAUCUCUAUUGGCUAUACUAUCAGUAUAAACUGAUCACCUGUAGUGAACUCAUGGUACCCAGUGAACUAUUGAUCUUCUACACUGUUGUUGUUCCUAUGCUUGCGGUGAUUGUGUACAUGGUUUACAUCUUUAUCGCUAUGCAGAUCAAUCUGGCUUUCCAGUUUUUCUUAUUUGUCUUUGGAAUCGAACCUGAAAGUACUGUUUCUAUUACAAAGUAGCCUAGCUACCAUCAUGGUGGCUUUUUGAUCCUGCACGCUGUUCUCAUAAAGCUAUGUAUUUGUUUAGAAGCAGUUUGAGGUUUACGCAAACACUGCUUUUUGUGUGUGUAAAAUCUGCUUAAAUAGGAAUUAUACAGAAGAUAAAACCAACCUUUAUUCUGUAAUGGACACUUCAUCCUAGAUGUAUUACUUACUAAAUAUUCUACUUGUUCACCUUAAGAAUAGUGUUCAUAUACAAUAUUUUAGAUAUACUGAAAUGGGAUAAAUUAAUUAUCUAAUCGUUAUACAUUAGAGCUGGUAAAAAUAUUUCAAUAUUUGGUGGAAAAAUUGUGGAAAACAAGAUUUUACAUUUUCAUGAAUGCUUUUUGACCAGCUUUAUUAAACAUACAGAGAUCUUA
Gopherus evgoodei (Goodes thornscrub tortoise) is the source of this 897-nucleotide long non-coding RNA. RefSeq lists it as uncharacterized. The transcript is spliced from 2 exons. The record is from RefSeq and is a predicted model, not a curated record. Lineage: Eukaryota; Metazoa; Chordata; Testudines; Testudinidae.